This 507-nucleotide long non-coding RNA is filed under the name Junco hyemalis (dark-eyed junco). RNAcentral's name for it is "lncRNA (ENSJHYG00000012206.1)". Lineage: Eukaryota; Metazoa; Chordata; Aves; Passeriformes; Passerellidae. The record is from RNAcentral.
GGGAGGUUCCCGGGGCGGUUCCCGGGGCGGUGCCGGUGCCGCCAUGGCCGCGGUGCCGCUGCGGGGCCGGCGUGCGGCGCUCGGGCCGGGAGCAGCCGGGGAGCCGGAAUGCGUUUUGGAAAACCAUGGCAGCAAAGGCAUUUCCCAGCCCUGCCCAAGAUGUGUUGCUGGAGAAUCUGGCCACUUCAGUCACAUCCUGGGCUCCUAGAACAGCAGAGGAGCAGCUCUGGUUUCUGCUCGUGGCUCCUGCCCUGCCUCAGCACCCUGCCCUGGGCACCGUCCCUGCACUGCACCCCUGCCCAAAACCCUCUGCUCCUCAGGGAGCUCAGAAUUGUCCAAAAAGGACAAGGAAAGGAUUAUUUCAUGUUUAGGUCCACUUGGCAUCUUGCCUGCCAAAAGGAGAUGGAAAAUCAAAAUAUUGGGAUAAGUGGGGUUUAAAGGUAGCCUGGAUUUGACAAAGCCAAGACUUGAAAUAAAUACAGUUAAUAUAUUUAAAUAUAUAUAGAG